UCUGGGGAGAAAACAAGAGAAAGCAAGAGUUUAUUGGAUUGUUCUGCUCCAAUACAUUUGUGUCCAUUUUAAGGAGGAAUAAAAGACGCCGAGACACAAGGUGGAGCUACUAGUGCUGACAACUGGAGCUCAGGCCGUGUUUAGUUAACAUCAUUUAGUAUCUGAGCUGCACCCUAAGGUCAACUGCAUGCAGCUGCAUUGCAAUCCAGCUGACACAAAAACCGUAACAAAUGAAAUGUGUGACACAUAUUAAUAUCAGGGCUGCAACCUGGGGGG
Sander lucioperca (pikeperch) is the source of this 276-nucleotide long non-coding RNA. RefSeq lists it as uncharacterized. The transcript has 2 exons. NCBI's taxonomy places the organism in Eukaryota, Metazoa, Chordata, Actinopteri, Perciformes, Percidae. The record is from RefSeq and is a predicted model, not a curated record.